Molecule: ribosomal RNA, 1475 nt
Filed under: metagenome
Description: bacterial SSU rRNA
Rfam family: Bacterial small subunit ribosomal RNA
Source: RNAcentral
AGAGUUUGAUCCUGGCUCAGGAUGAACGCUAGCUACAGGCUUAACACAUGCAAGUCGAGGGGAAACGAUAUUGGAAGCUUGCUUCCGAUAGGCGUCGACCGGCGCACGGGUGAGUAACGCGUAUCCAACCUGCCCACCACUUGGGGAUAACCCUGCGAAAGUAAGACUAAUACCCAAUGAUAUCUCUAGAAGACAUCUGAAAGAGAUUAAAGAUUUAUCGGUGAUGGAUGGGGAUGCGUCUGAUUAGCUUGUUGGCGGGGUAACGGCCCACCAAGGCAACGAUCAGUAGGGGUUCUGAGAGGUUGAACGGCCACAUUGGGACUGAGACACGGCCCAGACUCCUACGGGAGGCAGCAGUGGGGAAUAUUGCACAAUGGGGGAAACCCUGAUGCAGCGACGCCGCGUGGAGGAAGAAGGUCUUCGGAUUGUAAACUCCUGUUGUUGAGGAAGAUAAUGACGGUACUCAACAAGGAAGUGACGGCUAACUACGUGCCAGCAGCCGCGGUAAAACGUAGGUCACAAGCGUUGUCCGGAAUUACUGGGUGUAAAGGGAGCGCAGGCGGGAAGGCAAGUUGGAAGUGAAAUCCAUGGGCUCAACCCAUGAACUGCUUUCAAAACUGUUUUUCUUGAGUAGUGCAGAGGUAGGCGGAAUUCCCGGUGUAGCGGUGGAAUGCGUAGAUAUCGGGAGGAACACCAGUGGCGAAGGCGGCCUACUGGGCACCAACUGACGCUGAGGCUCGAAAGUGUGGGUAGCAAACAGGAUUAGAUACCCUGGUAGUCCACACUGUAAACGAUGAUUACUAGGUGUUGGAGGAUUGACUCCUUCAGUGCCGCAGUUAACACAAUAAGUAAUCCACCUGGGGAGUACGACCGCAAGGUUGAAACUCAAAGGAAUUGACGGGGGCCCGCACAAGCAGUGGAGUAUGUGGUUUAAUUCGACGCAACGCGAAGAACCUUACCAAGUCUUGACAUCCUGCGACGCACAUAGAAAUAUGUGUUUCCUUCGGGACGCAGAGACAGGUGGUGCAUGGUUGUCGUCAGCUCGUGUCGUGAGAUGUUGGGUUAAGUCCCGCAACGAGCGCAACCCUUAUGGUCAGUUACUACGCAAGAGGACUCUGGUCAGACUGCCGUUGACAAAACGGAGGAAGGUGGGGAUGACGUCAAAUCAUCAUGCCCUUUAUGACUUGGGCUACACACGUACUACAAUGGCGUUAAACAAAGAGAAGCAAGACCGCGAGGUGGAGCAAAACUCAGAAACAACGUCCCAGUUCGGACUGCAGGCUGCAACUCGCCUGCACGAAGUCGGAAUUGCUAGUAAUCGCAGAUCAGCAUGCUGCGGUGAAUACGUUCCCGGGCCUUGUACACACCGCCCGUCACACCAUGAGAGCCGGGGGGACCCGAAGUCGGUAGUCUAACCGCAAGGAGGACGCCGCCGAAGGUAAAACUGGUGAUUGGGGUGAAGUCGUAACAAGGUA